This 492-nucleotide ribosomal RNA is filed under the name uncultured bacterium. RNAcentral describes it as "partial 16S ribosomal RNA". It matches the Rfam family "Bacterial small subunit ribosomal RNA", at positions 36 to 507 of the family's 1533-position model. The record is from RNAcentral.
CUUUCCCUCUUUCUUUAGGCCUAACACAUGCCAGUCGAACGGCAGCACAGUAAGAGCUUGCUCUUACGGGUGGCGAGUGGCGGACGGGUGAGGAAUACAUCGGAAUCUACUUUUUCGUGGGGGAUAACGUAGGGAAACUUACGCUAAUACCGCAUACGACCUACGGGUGAAAGCAGGGGAUCUUCGGACCUUGCGCGAUUGAAUGAGCCGAUGUCGGAUUAGCUAGUUGGCGGGGUAAAGGCCCACCAAGGCGACGAUCCGUAGCUGGUCUGAGAGGAUGAUCAGCCACACUGGAACUGAGACACGGUCCAGACUCCUACGGGAGGCAGCAGUGGGGAAUAUUGGACAAUGGGCGCAAGCCUGAUCCAGCUAUACCGCGUGGGUGAAGAAGGCCUUCGGGUUGUAAAGCCCUUUUGUUGGGAAAGAAAAGCAGCAGGUUAAUACCCCGCUGUUCUGACGGUACCCAAAGAAUAAGCACCGGCUAACUUCGUG